AGACGUAGGGGGCGAGCGUUGUCCGGAAUUAUUGGGCGUAAAGGGCGUGUAGGCGGUUAUUUAAGUCGGACGUGAAAGGUGGCGGCUCAACUGCCACAUUGCGUAUGAAACUGGGUAACUUGAGUGCAGCAGAGGGAAGUGGAAUUCCUAGUGUAGCGGUGAAAUGCGUAGAUAUUAGGAAGAACACCAGUGGCGAAGGCGGCUUUCUGGGCUGCAACUGACGCUGAGGCGCGAAAGCUGGGGGAGCGAACGGGAUUAGAUACCCCGGUAGUCCCAGCCGUAAACGAUGGACACUAGGUGUAGGAGGAACGACCCCUUCUGUGCCGCAGCAAACGCAAUAAGUGUCCCGCCUGGGGAAUACGGCCGCAAGGCUGAA
RNAcentral lists this ribosomal RNA (376 nucleotides) under uncultured bacterium. Its description in RNAcentral is "bacterial SSU rRNA". It matches the Rfam family "Bacterial small subunit ribosomal RNA", at positions 523 to 898 of the family's 1533-position model. The record is from RNAcentral.